CGGAUCUGCCGCCCCAACAGCAAAACUUGACGCCUGCAGAGCCUCCGACCAGCGACCCGACGCCUCCGCCGUGCUGCUCUGCCGUAUCCGACCCGACGCCAACAGCAAAAAAAACCAGCACUGGCGCCUGCUGCAGCCACAGCCCGACCCCGAUCCUCUGCCCGAGCCCGAGUCGAGUUGCUCCGCUAUCUGCCCGAGCCCGAGCCGCCUAGCUCCGUCUCUGCUCCGACGCACCGCCGCUCUGCUGUGCCCUCGCCGGAGCUCUGACGCC
RNAcentral lists this long non-coding RNA (271 nucleotides) under Eucalyptus grandis. RNAcentral's name for it is "long non-coding RNA (EGRA_LNC002555)". The record is from RNAcentral. Lineage: Eukaryota; Viridiplantae; Streptophyta; Magnoliopsida; Myrtales; Myrtaceae.